This 217-nucleotide long non-coding RNA is filed under the name Brassica rapa (field mustard). RNAcentral describes it as "long non-coding RNA (BRAP_LNC001500)". The record is from RNAcentral. Lineage: Eukaryota; Viridiplantae; Streptophyta; Magnoliopsida; Brassicales; Brassicaceae.
GGGACUCGGUUAUAGACAUAUCAUAUUCGAAGAAGACAUUUUUACAGUUAUCAAUCUUCUUAAAAGUCAAGAAACAAAUCUGAAUAUCAAAACAAUAUCUCAUACGAUCUCUUUGUGGAAUAACUGCUCUAAAGAAAUUGAAUUUAAGCAUAAAAAAGGACUGGAAAUGGAUGUGCAGAUGUGUUAUCUAAGUCAGCUUUACAAAGUACUAUUCAUA